Molecule: long non-coding RNA, 1154 nt
Filed under: Ananas comosus (pineapple)
Lineage: Eukaryota; Viridiplantae; Streptophyta; Magnoliopsida; Poales; Bromeliaceae
Description: long non-coding RNA (ACOM_LNC013965)
Source: RNAcentral
GCACCUGAUUUAUUUUUUAUUUUUUAGUUUUAAUUUUAUCUUUAUCUUUUGGGAGUUCUAAUCCUUUUGAAAAUCCCAAUCCACAUCUUGUAUAAUUUUAGGCUUAUCUUGCGCUACACGGAAUUGACGUGUUAAAGCAAAAUUUUUGCCUUUGAUAUAUAUAUAAUGGAGUUUGGGCCCAAAUACCGGCCCAAAAUGCUUAAGCCCAGUUAUUAUUACUAUAUAUCCAAUCACAUCCCCAUUCCUAUUUUUAUCCGAUGUGUGAUUAUUGGAUUAAGACCCUGACGUUCUCGUCAGUCCAAUCACACAAGAGUCCAAGAUCAUCAGGUGAUGUGAGACUUGUCUCGCUUAGCUCUGUCAUCCAGAUUCUGGCAUAGCUGAUCAUCUUGUCAUUCAGACUCCGGCAUAUUCCGUCACCUUGUCUUUCAGAUCCUGACUCAAUCGAAACACACUCCGGCAUAUCCUGUCACCUUGUCUUUCAGACCAUGGCUCAAUCGAAACACGCCACACAUUUUCGGCUGGUGAUUGGCUCCGAUACCAAAUGUAAAGACCAGUCUACUAACAAUAAUGACUCGUUGGGUCCAAACACUAGCUCAAAAUGUUUAAGCCCAGUUAUUAUUUCUAGCGUCUAAAUCUCUUAUAUAUCCAAUUACAUCCCCAUUUCUAUCCGAUGUGUGAUUAUUAGGGUGUAACAAGGUUGCAUGAGUUCAACCUUGUACCUGGGCAUAUCUGAGAGCAAAACCCUACUCUCUACCUAACCUUCUUUUAUUUCUCACCAUUGAUCUUUUGCGCUGAUUUUUACCGAGCUUUCUAAUAUUUCGUUGGAUCUCCUAAGGUUUGCUGGGUUUAUCUUACGCCACCUUGAAAGCGUGUUGACAGGGUGAAAUAUUGACGUUGUAUUGCUGAAAGUAAUUGCCGGAAAGCCUUACACGUGGAGGGACAAUUUCGUUUCCAGAACAGUACUCUGCACACCUCAAUCCGCAUACCUUUUCUAUUCCUUUUCACUACAGUAUUUAUUAUUUAAUUUUUUAAAAUUUUUUUGGAAAAUUGAAAUUAAACUCUCGAAUUAUUUUUAAAAAAUAUUUUACUAAAAGAUCAGAAAGAUUUUCCAACACCCCACUUACCUACCAAAUAGAAGAGGUGCGCGGGCAAUC